RNAcentral lists this long non-coding RNA (1868 nucleotides) under Sus scrofa (pig). RNAcentral's name for it is "lncRNA (ENSSSCG00000061507.1)". Lineage: Eukaryota; Metazoa; Chordata; Mammalia; Artiodactyla; Suidae. The record is from RNAcentral.
CACAGCAUGGGGAAGUUCCUGGGCAAAGGAUUGAACCCAUGCCACAGCAGUGACAAUGUUGGGUCCUUAACCCACUGAGCCACCAGGGAAUUCCUGGAGUCUUGCCUUUUAGCUUUUCAAAAGAAUGGCUUAAUUUCCCCAUCUCCUUUCAGCAUAUAUAUAGCUAAGUGACUAAAUUCUGAUCAAUAGGAUGUAAGCAAACUGCCGUGUACAACAUUUAGAAAAAUCUUAAAUGGAAAGGACAUGCUGUCCUUAGCUCUUCUUCCAACUGAUGGCUAGAGCUGGGACAUAAGACAAAAGCAAAUGCUAAGGACGGUGGCACCUGAAAAUAGGAGGACUCUACACUGGCCCCCAAACAGUACUGUGUCAUAUACACCCUGGACAGACUACCUCUAUCUAGACUUCUUUCAGGUGAAAGACAAACAAGCUUGCUAUUUUGGGGUGGGGGGGGAUGCACUGAGGGUUUGGGAUGGACAUGCUGUAAAAUCUGGUUGUGAUGAUUGUUGUACACCUAAAAACGUAAUAAAAUCCAUUAAGUAUGAAAUAAAUAAAUAAAUAAAGCAAUGUAAGAAAAAAAGUUAUUCAAACUUUCACCAUCUGGAUGCAAUCAAGAUCUAACUCCUGUUUCACUCUCGACUUUCCCUGAGUGUUCUAUAUUCAUUCCCAACUUCAAACCUUACUUGCAGAUUAAACCUUUCCAAAUCUGUAUCUCCCGCUCAUCCAGACCUGUAUGCCCACUAGCUUACAGAUCCACACUGGACAAUCACAACGUGUCUAAACCAAAUCCAUCAUCUUCCCUGGUCUAUACCCUGUCUCCUCUCUCACUGAGAGCACCACCCUCUCUCUUCAUGACAGAAAUCAAAGCAGCUUGCCUGACUUCUCCCGCUGCUUCAGUUGACACCGGGUUGUGAUCAUCUGACUCCACUACUAAAACUUUUCUCCAAGGAAGACCUAGAUCUUAUUCACUUGUAUUUCCUCAGUACCUACUGUGUGGCAAGAUAGGUGCACAAAUAUUUGAAGAUUAUUCAUAUUUUAUGCAUUUCUUUCCAGUCCUUCUCCUAUAUUUUUAAAGCAAGAUGUGAUUAUUCUAUAAAAAUUAUUUUAAAUGCUACACUUUUUUCAUUAAACAUUAUAGAAUAUAAAAUUUCCCAUGCUAGUAGAAACUAUGUGAAUCAUUUUUAAUGGCUGCAUAAUAGUACACGAGUUAGUAGCUACUACAAAGCACUGACUAUAUGUCAGGAACAGUACUAGGCAUUUUACAUAAAUCUUUACUAGAUUCUCACUUUAUAGAUGAGGAAACAGAGGCUCACAGGAGCAAAGAAUCCUCUGCCUGUGGUGACUAUGACUAAGGGCCCAAAUAGAUAGAGUUCCUGAAAGACAGAAUUUAUAUCCUUUACAUAUAAGAGCAGGCCCUCCUAUAUUUGUUGAAAGAAGAAUCAAUAAUUUACUAGAAGCUAGUAUAUCUAGCAAUUAAAAAGAGAAUCCUCUUGUCUUAUGAAAACCAUAAUCUGUCUUUUUCAUAUCUCAGUACAUUGCAAAAAGUACAUUAAUUAAACAUUAUGUUACAUGCAUUACAAACAUCUUAUUUAAUCCUAACAAUUCUGAGUUCCUGUCAUGGCACAGCGGAAAUGAAUCUGACUAGGAACCAUGAGGUUUCAGGUUCGAUCUCUGGCCUCACUCACUGGGUUAAGGAUCUGGCGUUGCCAUGAGCCAUGGUAUAGGUCGUAUAUAUCUAUCUGGUGUUGCUGUGGCUGUGGUGUAGGCCAGCAGCUACAACUCUGAUUCGACCCCUAGCCUGGGAACCUCCAUAUGCUGUGAGUAUGGCCCUAAAGAAACCAAAAAAAAAAAAAAAAAAAAAAAAAAAAAAA